RNA transcript from Mastomys coucha (southern multimammate mouse), 2599 nucleotides. It is a transcript of the gene named sialic acid-binding Ig-like lectin 10, with no coding region annotated. The record is from RefSeq and is a predicted model, not a curated record. Lineage: Eukaryota; Metazoa; Chordata; Mammalia; Rodentia; Muridae. The transcript is spliced from 9 exons.
UUCUCAAGAGGCCAGUGUCUGGGCUGAUCAGUUAGGCUUCUUCAACCUUAGUCCCUCCCAGUCUACAUAAGGCCAUUCCUCCUGUGGGUUCAUCGGGUGGGCAUUGUGUUCUUAAAUCAGCCCAGUUUGCCCCUCUAGAACCUAACUUCCCAAGUCAGUGUCUAUAAUUUUAAGUCAGCCCCUCACUGGAUGCUUUCUGCUGAGCUUCUCUGUAAUACCCUAGAGAAGGAAUGCUGAGGAGCUCAGAGCCCGAGAAAACCAAGACCAGGAGGAGGUAGAAUUGGAGAAGAAAUUGAUUGUUUAGAGGGAGGGACAAAAAGUUGCUGUUGGGACUGGAGAGAUGGCUCACCAGUCAAGAGUGCUUAUGGCUUUUACUGAGGACUGGGGUUCAGUUCCCAACUGCCUAUAACCUUCGGCACCAGGGGAUCCUAUGACCUUUUCUGGUUUCUACUGGCUUCCAAAGAAGAACAGGGGUAUCAGGAGGUUAAAGCUAGACCGGACUGCAGAGGGGAUUCUAGGUCAGCCUCGGCCACGUAUUGGGACUCACAAACAAAAGGAGAACCAGAACAGUUCCCAGUUUACAGGUGAGAAAAGGGAGAGCAGGGCAGGACUGGCCUGAAGCCAUUCACCCCUGAGUUGCUAGAACCAACGCGGAAAGUUUCCACUCUUUGAUUUGAACUGGACAUUGUGUCAGAGACCAGAGUCAGCAGCAGGAGCCAUCCUUGUUUUCUCUCGUCCCUGAGAUGCUGUGGGGGCUCACAUCCCUACUUCUGCUGUAUUUGGGGUUACUUUCUCCAGUUUUGGUUGAUAUCAAGAAGACAGCAAUGGAAGACGGUCUAUGCAGUACAGUCCCUUGUGUGAUUGAAUUUUCCAAGGAACCUCUUAGAAAUCCCAUGAUUGUGAGCUAUAGGCUUAAUGAAAAUAUCAGCUUCCGUGUUGGUACCAGCCAUCUGAGUGCCCCCAUGGGUGAUCUCUCCACAGAGAAGCUGGAGUACUGCAUCCUGAUGACCCACAGCAUACUCAGAAGAGAAAACAUGUUCGACUCGCUCUAUGUGGGUCUAGGAGCUCAGAAAGACCUCACCCAAAACCCAGAGCUUCACAUCCCAGAAAGCAGUGUUGGUGGAGAGCCUGUGACCUUGACCUGUACCCUCCGAGGCACUUGCCGAGAGCACUACGCUCUUUUUCACUCCUGGAAAGGAUCCAUCAUGUCUUCCAACACGACCAUCUCCAUCCACCGCUCUUCAGCACUGGCCAUUAACCCAAAACCUGAGGACCAGGACAGCACUCUCAGAUGCCACUUAAAGCUAUCCUUAGAUAACCUGUCCAGCAGUAAAGUGGUCAAGCUACAACUGGUCUCACCUGUCAGGCUGCUCAACUACUCUUGUUUGCUGAAGAGGACACUCACAUGUAGCUGUUCCUUCCAUGGGAUCCCCACGCCUUCAGUGCAGUGGUGGGUGGGAGGAACCCCUGUGAGUGUGAAUAGCAUAGAUGCCAUCCUACACAUGACCACUACCACACUAGAACCCUGGACCAACAGCACCAUCCACCUCAUGUGGGAACCAGAAAUCGUUAAGAGACUUCGCUGUGAGGGGAAGAACCAAUAUGGAGUCCAUGCUUCCAGAAUCUUCUUGAUACCAGAUAAAAGCUCCAUUUCCAGUGUGUUCCUGAGAGGACUAAUUCAGGGCAUUGUGUAUGGGACCAUAGCAUCUGCUUUAUUCUUCUUCUUCCUCGUUGUGCUAGUAAUGAAGAUGCUUAAUUGGUGGGAGGAAAAUCAAACUUUCAAGAACAAAGAAGCCCCGACCCUCAUGAAACCAGUUUUGGGAGGAGCCAAUUCAGCUGAAGUCUGAAGCGGCAGGUGUACUAGCCUUGGCUCUGGCACUGAGAAGACAGAGGCAGAAGGAUCAGGAUUUCCAGCUACAUGCCUUGGAGAGAGAGAAGAGAGUCCACAGGCACUGCAGGUGGAUCAUGGUGCACGCCAGACUCCUCAAGCCUGACAGUGCUGCAGAAGAGCAAGACAUCAUCUCUACCCCAGACUCCAGAGCCAGACACCUACAGCCCAGCUCUCCCUGUGGCUGAGCAAACCCGCCACUCUCCAGGCCUUCCCUUUUCCCUCCGCCCCUCCGCCCCUUCCUCUUUUCCUCUUCCCCCUCCUCUUCCAUUUCUUCUCUUUCCUCCCGCUCUCCUCCUCUCUUCUCCUCUUCUCUUCCUCUUCUCCCAUCUUCUCUCCUUCCUCCCCCUUCCAUUUCUUUUUCUCGCCUCUUCCUACAUUAUCCUCCCCCUGACUCCUGUUCUUUUCUUUGCAUCUUUCUCUUCUUCCUCCUCCCUCUUCUGUCUCUUCCCCUUCCCCUCUUUCUUCCUUUUCCUCCCCUCUGCGUCCUCUUGUCCUAACUUCCAUGUAGUCUCUUCCAGGGUGGGUAGCCUGGUCCUUGCCCAUAGCUCAAGGGCAGGUAUCAGGGGAAGAAGGGCCUUGGCUUCACUGAAAAGUCAUGCAGGAAAGGGUUGACCAGAAGUUCAAGUACGGGAACUGGGGGGUUCAGGGUGCUCUGGAGAGAGCAGUUGUGGGGCAGGCAGAGACAACAAGAAUGAAUCAACCAGCGAC